GAACUUCCAUGAAAAGCUGGGAAAAAGAACUUGAUCCUACAGUUCAACAGAUUCAGCCAAUACUUGCCAUGCCUUGAGAUGGCAUUUCCACUGGAAUGCUGAAGGCACCUCAAGCUGCUCCUGGUGAAGUGUUUGUGAGUCAGCCAGGGGAACCCAGCACAUUUCCCAGGGGAAAAGGCUCAGGAGAAAGACGGGCCAACCACUAAUGAGGCAUUCCCAGGAAACACAGAAGGGAGGGAGAUCAAAGUGGAGCAGCUGGAAACCAAGGGCCAGAUUUUUAACACAGUUCGGAAACAGAUGAGCGUUUAACCUCCUGAGACCAAACAUAUGUUACCGUGAAGUAGCAAACUUGCAUGUUUGUUGCCCAUUUCAUGGCUGGAAGCUGAAGAUGUUUUGGCGUCACCAGUUAAAGUUUGAUAAAGCUUCCUGAGCUCAGCAUGUCCCACUGUUGUUCGGGAGAGAUACCGGCUCAGCUGGCUGCUUUUCCAGGCAGCACUGCUCUCCCCAGGCCUCCCCCUGCAGACACCAACUUCUGUGUGAUAAGGAGAAGUUUUUAGCUCUGAACACUCAUCAAAAACACCACUCCUCCGGACUCAGUGAAGCAGAAAAACCAAAAGUUAGUCUUCAGUGGUUGGGGAAAAUCCUGAAAGUUGGCGGAGGUGGUCUCCGGAUGAUCCAGCCCAGUUUUUCCAGGACAAGGGAGCAAAGAGCUGGCAAGUGCAGAUUCCAGUUGCUCCUGGAGUCACAAAGAAGGGAAGAGGAAGCACCGUGAUGAGGGGAUAUAAACCCACGUGCAGGGACAUGAAGCAGAGGACACGCUUGGAAUGUGACCAUUGACAACCUCUCAGCUACACAAGGAGUUCAAGGAGUGCAUCACAGUUUGCCAGUGGCUCCCAUGUACCUCUUGCUGCUCUCAUGUCUGAAUGUCACCUUCCCAACUCUUCUGUGUGGUCUGAGCACAGGAGCCGUACUUUGGGAUGAAUCCAGCAUCAGAAAGGUGCUCCACAAGGACAAUUCCUGUGCUCCAGCCAGACCAGACUGGAAAACCCAACCAGGUGUGCAAUAGGGAUGUGGGGCCCCCAUGACCAGCUGGAGAUCUGCUCCCAUUUGGCUUUCCCAUUACUUUCCAAUGUAGAUGGAACCAUGUGACACCCAGAGUC
Long non-coding RNA from Corapipo altera (White-ruffed manakin), 1160 nucleotides. RefSeq lists it as uncharacterized. Lineage: Eukaryota; Metazoa; Chordata; Aves; Passeriformes; Pipridae. The record is from RefSeq and is a predicted model, not a curated record. The transcript has 8 exons.